GCAAUGUAUCAUUAAAGAAAGGGAAAUCAACCUAAUCAUAGAUGCAACAUCUGUAAUCAAGGACAAGGUACAGAUAUGGAUUCCGAUAGAGCUUCAUUAUCAUGCUCUUGGUAAACGAAUGGCGUGCACCCCUUUCCUUCCCGUUGACAUGGCACAUGGGCAAGACAUCACACUCCGGAUAUACAUACAUGAAGACAUACCCUACAUUGUUCAGAAAAUUCAGGAAGAUGAGGAGACUUUGCUAUACCGUCAAGUACAUCCUGGAAGAUGCUUUGUACUUCGACCUGAGUCAAAUGAUCUAGAGCUGGAAUACAAUGGGGGGAAAAGGAUCAUCUCUGCGACAGAACUUUUCAACCGGCAGAAGACACUAGUUUCAAUGCCCAUUACGACGGAUACCAAUGCCAAUAUACAGAUGAUGAACAUUUCGAUUACAGCAACAAGUACCAACCAACAAAAGGCCAGCAUGGCGUUCAUGGCUAUACGGACUGG
Long non-coding RNA from Strongylocentrotus purpuratus (purple sea urchin), 489 nucleotides. RefSeq lists it as uncharacterized. Lineage: Eukaryota; Metazoa; Echinodermata; Echinoidea; Camarodonta; Strongylocentrotidae. The transcript has 3 exons. The record is from RefSeq and is a predicted model, not a curated record.